Molecule: ribosomal RNA, 407 nt
Filed under: uncultured bacterium
Lineage: Bacteria
Description: partial 16S ribosomal RNA
Rfam family: Bacterial small subunit ribosomal RNA
Source: RNAcentral
AUUGAACGCUGGCGGCAGGCCUAACACAUGCAAGUCGAGCGGAGCGGCGGACGGGUGCGUGAUGCCUAGGAAUCUGCCUGGUAGUUGUGGAUAACGUCCGGAAACGGGCGCUAAUACCGCAUCCUAUCAGAUGCGCCUAGGUCGGAUUAGCUAGUUGGUGGGGUAAAGGCCUACAAAGGCGACGAUCAGUAACUGUGCUGAGAGGAUGAUCAGUCACACUGGAACUGAGACACGGUCCAGACUCCUACGGGAGGAAGCAGUGGGGAAUAUUGGACAAGGGGCGAAAGCCUGAUCCAGCCAUGCCGCGUGUGUGAAGAAGGCCUUCGGAUUGUAAAGUACUUUAAGUUGGGAGGCGUUACCAACAGAAUAAGCACCGGCUAACUUCGUGCCAGCAGCCGCGGUAAUUC